AUACUGAAAUAUGUUAAAAUUAGUGCUAC
Molecule: small RNA, 29 nt
Filed under: Bombyx mori (domestic silkworm)
Lineage: Eukaryota; Metazoa; Arthropoda; Insecta; Lepidoptera; Bombycidae
Description: ovarian small RNA-12364
Source: RNAcentral